RNAcentral lists this ribosomal RNA (444 nucleotides) under uncultured bacterium. Its description in RNAcentral is "bacterial SSU rRNA". It matches the Rfam family "Bacterial small subunit ribosomal RNA", at positions 331 to 792 of the family's 1533-position model. The record is from RNAcentral.
CCAGACUCCUACGGGAGGCAGCAGUAGGGAAUUUUGCGCAAUGGGCGAAAGCCUGACGCAGCAACACCGCGUGAAUGUUAAGCCCUUCGGGGUGUAAAGUUCUGUCAAUAGGGACGAACUUUGACUGUACCUAUAAAGGAAGCACCGGCUAACUCCGUGCCAGCAGCCGCGGUAAUACGGGGGGUGCAAGCGUUGUCCGGAAUCAUUGGGCGUAAAGCGUUCGUAGGCGGCAAGGUAAGUCUGAUGUUAAAGCCCGGGGCUCAACUCCGGUUCGGCAUUGGAUACUAUCUAGCUAGAAUGUGGUAGAGGUAAAGGGAAUUCCUGGUGUAGCGGUGAAAUGCGUAGAUAUCAGGAGGAACAUCGGUGGCGAAGGCGGGUUCCUGGACAUUAACUGACGCUGAGGCACGAAGGCCAGGGGAGCGAAAGGGAUUAGAUACCCGAGUA